This 253-nucleotide ribosomal RNA is filed under the name uncultured bacterium. RNAcentral describes it as "partial 16S ribosomal RNA". It matches the Rfam family "Bacterial small subunit ribosomal RNA", at positions 524 to 776 of the family's 1533-position model. The record is from RNAcentral.
UACGUAGGGGGCAAGCGUUGUCCGGAUUUAUUGGGCGUAAAGAGCGUGUAGGCGGCCUGGUAGGUCAGCUGUGAAAACUCGAGGCUCAACCUCGAGACGCCGGUUGAAACCAUCGGGCUAGAGUCCGGAAGAGGAGAGUGGAAUUCCCGGUGUAGCGGUGAAAUGCGCAGAUAUCGGGAAGAACACCCGUGGCUAAGGCGGCUCUCUAGUACGGUACUGACGCUGAGACGCGAAAGCGUGGGGAGCGAACAGG